AUUAAGAUUAUAGAAAAUCUAAAUGUAAUGGGAUGGUCAUUUUUGAGGUUAUUUCCUGUCGUCUAUUUGUCACUUCCGAAAGCAGUGAAAACAAAGAAAACUAAAAGAGAAAAUCACAGUUCAAAGAGAAAGAAACAUAUCUGGUAUUUGAGAACUACAGAAGACAAAUUAAAGCAGAGUGCAAAAGGAAUUUUAAUAAUCAUUGAUAAUAUUCUGGCUUCAAAAUGCAUGGAAAUGGAGAUGGGACAAAAUGCAUUCUACCAUUUGAUAGCCCAGAAUGAAUUACUUUAAAAGGCUAACAAGAAGAGGAGGCUCGCAGUAGAAGAUACAGACUCUGAAUAAUUAAUAAAAUGUUAAAAUGCUA
Mytilus californianus (California mussel) is the source of this 364-nucleotide long non-coding RNA. RefSeq lists it as uncharacterized. The record is from RefSeq and is a predicted model, not a curated record. The transcript is spliced from 3 exons. NCBI's taxonomy places the organism in Eukaryota, Metazoa, Mollusca, Bivalvia, Mytilida, Mytilidae.